RNAcentral lists this ribosomal RNA (573 nucleotides) under uncultured fungus. Its description in RNAcentral is "eukaryotic LSU rRNA". The stretch from base 205 to 358 matches the Rfam family "5.8S ribosomal RNA". The record is from RNAcentral. Lineage: Eukaryota; Fungi.
CUUGGUCAUUUAGAGGAAGUAAAAGUCGUAACAAGGUCUCCGUUGGUGAACCAGCGGAGGGAUCAUUACAGAGUUGCAAAACUCCCAACCCUUUGUGAACGAACCUAACAGUUGCUUCGGCGGAAGGCCCUUCACUGGGCGGCCCGCCGAAGGUCUACAAACUCUUGUCUUUUGGCAUCGCUGAGUAGCUUAUAAAUAAGUUAAAACUUUCAACAACGGAUCUCUUGGUUCUGGCAUCGAUGAAGAACGCAGCGAAAUGCGAUAAGUAAUGUGAAUUGCAGAAUUCAGUGAAUCAUCGAAUCUUUGAACGCACAUUGCGCCCGCCAGUAUUCUGGCGGGCAUGCCUGUUCGAGCGUCAUUUCAACCAUCAAGCCUCAGGUUUGUGUUGGAGCCCUGCGGCCGUCCGCAGCCUCCUAAAAGCAGUGGCGGGCUCGCUAUCACACCGAGUGCAGUAGUUUACUCUUCGCUCAGGGCGUGUGGCGGGUGCCGGCCGUGAAACCCCUCAUAUCUAAAGGUUGACCUCGGAUCAGGUAGGAAUACCCGCUGAACUUAAGCAUAUCAAUAAGCGGAGGA